This 434-nucleotide ribosomal RNA is filed under the name uncultured bacterium. RNAcentral describes it as "partial 16S ribosomal RNA". It matches the Rfam family "Bacterial small subunit ribosomal RNA", at positions 29 to 507 of the family's 1533-position model. The record is from RNAcentral.
AGCGAACGCUGGCGGCAGGCCUAACACAUGCAAGUCGAACGAACCUUUCGGGGUUAGUGGCGGACGGGUGAGUAACACGUGGGAACGUGCCUUUAGGUUCGGAAUAACUCAGGGAAACUUGUGCUAAUACCGAAUGUGCCCUUCGGGGGAAAGAUUUAUCGCCUUUGGAGCGGCCCGCGUCUGAUUAGCUAGUUGGUUGAGGUAAUGGCUCACCAAGGCGACGAUCAGUAGCUGGUCUGAGAGGAUGAUCAGCCACAUUGGGACUGAGACACGGCCCAAACUCCUACGGGAGGCAGCAGUGGGGAAUCCUGCGCAAUGGGCGAAAGCCUGACGCAGCCAUGCCGCGUGAAUGAUGAAGGUCUUAGGAUUGUAAAAUUCUUUCACCGGGGACGAUAAUGACGGUACCCGGAGAAGAAGCCCCGGCUAACUUCGUG